GAUGAACGCUAGCUACAGGCUUAACACAUGCAAGUCGAGGGGAAACGACAUCGAAAGCUUGCUUUUGAUGGGUGUCGACCGGCGCACGGGUGAGUAACGCGUAUCCAACCUGCCCACCACUUGGGGAUAACCUUGCGAAAGUAAGACUAAUACCCAAUGACGUCUCUAGAAGACAUCUGAAAGGGAUUAAAGAUUUAUCGGUGAUGGAUGGGGAUGCGUCUGAUUAGCUUGUUGGCGGGGUAACGGCCCACCAAGGCAACGAUCAGUAGGGGUUCUGAGAGGAAGGUCCCCCACAUUGGAACUGAGACACGGUCCAAAACUCCUACGGGAGGCAGCAGUGAGGAAUAUUGGUCAAUGGGCGAGAGCCUGAACCAGCCAAGUAGCGUGCAGGAUGACGGCCCUAUGGGUUGUAAACUGCUUUUAUAAGGGAAUAAAGUGGGUCACGUGUGACUUUUUGCAUGUACCUUAUGAAUAAGGACCGGCUAAAUUCCGUG
Molecule: ribosomal RNA, 494 nt
Filed under: uncultured bacterium
Lineage: Bacteria
Description: bacterial SSU rRNA
Rfam family: Bacterial small subunit ribosomal RNA
Source: RNAcentral